ACCCAGACUCCUACGGGAGGCAGCAGUGGGGGAUAUUGCACAAUGGGGGAAACCCUGAUGCAGCGACGCCGCGUGUAGGAAGACGGUCCUCUGGAUUGUAAACUACUGUCCCCAGGGACGAAGAUGACGGUACCUGGGGAGGAAGCUCAGGCUAACUACGAGCCAGCAGCAGCGGUAAUACGUAGGGAGCGAGCGUUGUCCGGAAUUACUGGGUGUAAAGGGAGCGUAGGCGGGGAUGCAAGUUGGGUGUUGAAUCUACCGGCUCAACUCGUAGUCGCACUCAAAACUGCAGCUCUUGAGUGAAGUAGAGGCAGGCGGCAUUCCUAGUGUAGCGGUGAAAUGCGUAGAUAUUAGGAGGAACACCAGUGGCGAAGGCGGCCUGCUGGGCUUUUACUGACGCUGAGGCUCGAAAGUGUGGGGAGCAAACAGGAUUAGAUACCCCAGUA
RNAcentral lists this ribosomal RNA (446 nucleotides) under uncultured bacterium. Its description in RNAcentral is "bacterial SSU rRNA". It matches the Rfam family "Bacterial small subunit ribosomal RNA", at positions 329 to 792 of the family's 1533-position model. The record is from RNAcentral.